RNAcentral lists this ribosomal RNA (838 nucleotides) under uncultured Desulfocaldus sp. Its description in RNAcentral is "bacterial SSU rRNA". It matches the Rfam family "Bacterial small subunit ribosomal RNA", at positions 62 to 882 of the family's 1533-position model. Lineage: Bacteria; Deltaproteobacteria. The record is from RNAcentral.
UCGGACGCGAAAGCUCCUUCGGGAGUGAGUAGAGUGGCGCACGGGUGAGUAACGCGUAGGUAAUCUACCUCUGGAUUGGGGAUAACUCUGCGAAAGCGGAGCUAAUACCGAAUGGUCUGGCUUUAUUUUGAUGAAGUCGGUAAAGGAUGCCUCUGCAUAUGCAUCUGUCCGGAGAUGAGCCUGCGUCCCAUUAGCUAGUUGGUAGGGUAAAGGCCUACCAAGGCGACGAUGGGUAGCUGGUCUGAGAGGAUGAUCAGCCACACUGGAACUGGAACACGGUCCAGACUCCUACGGGAGGCAGCAGUGGGGAAUAUUGGGCAAUGGGCGCAAGCCUGACCCAGCAACGCCGUGUGAGGGAUGAAGGCCUUCGGGUCGUAAACCUCUGUCAGAAGGGAAGAACGGGCACAGUUCGAAUAGGGCUGUGUUUUGACGGUACCUUCAGAGGAAGCACCGGCUAACUCCGUGCCAGCAGCCGCGGUAAUACGGAGGGUGCGAGCGUUAUUCGGAAUCACUGGGCGUAAAGGGCGCGUAGGCGGCCUGGUAAGUCAGGGGUGAAAUCCCACGGCUCAACCGUGGAAUUGCCUUUGAAACUGCUGGGCUUGGAUCCUGGAGAGGGUGGCGGAAUUCCUGGUGUAGGAGUGAAAUCCGUAGAUAUCAGGAGGAACACCGGUGGCGAAGGCGGCCGCCUGGACAGGUAUCGACGCUGAGGCGCGAAAGUGUGGGGAGCAAACAGGAUUAGAUACCCUGGUAGUCCACACCGUAAACGAUGGAUACUAGGUGUUGGGGGCAUGACCCUCAGUGCCGGAGCUAACGCGUUAAGUAUCCCGCCUGGGGAGUA